UAGAGGGGAAUGUCAGACAAGAUUUACUAAGUUGUUGGCUAGAUGAAUUUGGUUGCUAAGCUAGGAUAUGGUAUAAUGUGCUUUUGUGAUUAGGACUUUUGAGAUGUUGAUUGUAAUAUUGUAGAGGUGAUGAUUCUAAGUUUUAAAUCAUGUGAGUCCCUGCUGUUUUCAAACCUCUUUUAGAGCGACUGCGUGUUUGUUUUGCUUGAGGACA
This 214-nucleotide long non-coding RNA is filed under the name Brassica napus (rape). Its description in RNAcentral is "long non-coding RNA (BNAP_LNC020197)". Lineage: Eukaryota; Viridiplantae; Streptophyta; Magnoliopsida; Brassicales; Brassicaceae. The record is from RNAcentral.